Molecule: ribosomal RNA, 433 nt
Filed under: uncultured bacterium
Lineage: Bacteria
Description: partial 16S ribosomal RNA
Rfam family: Bacterial small subunit ribosomal RNA
Source: RNAcentral
AACGAACGCUGGCGGCAUGCCUAACACAUGCAAGUCGAACGAGACCUUCGGGUCUAGUGGCGCACGGGUGCGUAACGCGUGGGAACCUGCCCUUAGGUUCGGAAUAACUCCCCGAAAGGGGUGCUAAUACCGGAUAAUAUCUUCGGACCAAAGAUUUAUCGCGUUUGGAUGGGCCCGCGUUGGAUUAGCUAGUUGUGAGGGUAAAAGCAUACCACGGGGACGAUCCAUAGCUGGUCUGAGAGGCUGAUCAGCCACACUGGGACUGAGACACGGCCCAGACUCCUACGGGAGGCAGCAGUGGGGAAUAUUGGAAAAUGGGCGAAAGGCUGAUCCGGCAAUGACGCGUGAGUGAUGAAGGCCUUAGGGUUGUAAAGCUCUUUUACCCGGGAUGAUAAUGACAGUACCGGGAGAAUAAGCCACGGCUAACUCCGUG